RNAcentral lists this unclassified non-coding RNA (253 nucleotides) under Alphaproteobacteria bacterium. RNAcentral's name for it is "contains 16S-23S intergenic spacer region". It matches the Rfam family "Bacterial small subunit ribosomal RNA", at positions 524 to 776 of the family's 1533-position model. Lineage: Bacteria; Pseudomonadati; Pseudomonadota; Alphaproteobacteria. The record is from RNAcentral.
UACAAAGGGGGCUAGCGUUGUUCGGAUUUACUGGGCGUAAAGCGCACGUAGGCGGAAUGUUAAGUCAGAGGUGAAAUCCCGGGGCUCAACCCCGGAACUGCCUCUCAUACUGGCAAUCUCGAGUUCGGGAGAGGUGAGUGGAAUUCCGAGUGUAGAGGUGAAAUUCGUAGAUAUUAGGAAGAACACCAGUGGCGAAGGCGGCUCACUGGUCCGGUACUGACGCUGAGGUGCGAAAGCGUGGGGAGCAAACAGG